GCAAAAAGUUCUUUUACAAUGAAAAUAAUCAACUAUUUAUAGCAAAAGCUUUAAGCUAGCCGAAUAGUCAUUAGAGAACAUGAAUGGUCAAUUCGUUUCAGCCUUAAUGAACUGAAAGUUAAAGGAAAAUUCCAGGUAGCUUCUUAUGUAUUGGGGACGUCAACAACCAGCUUCUAAAGGCUUGGAAUCUGCUGGAAAGUAAUGAGCUACAUUGGGAGCUGAAUGGGACAAGCUAAGUUCGGCCAACAAUUUGAUGAGCUAUUAAAAUUUGCUUUGAGUAGCUGAAAAAGUCUUGGAAGCUUUAAUGAGAGUUUUGGAGACUCCACCGGCCAUGCAAUGUGAAUUUAUGAAAGAGGAUUUUCACCCUUGCAAUGCACGAAAGGAUGCUUGGAAAAUAGCAACCAGCAGCCCAUUCUCUUUAAUGCAAGUCCUUUUUAAAUACUGCUCAUUCACUCUCUCAAUUGGGUGGCACCUUGAUGACAUUGUAGAGACCGAAUAGGCAUU
RNAcentral lists this long non-coding RNA (504 nucleotides) under Gossypium barbadense (sea-island cotton). RNAcentral describes it as "long non-coding RNA (GBAR_LNC021623)". Lineage: Eukaryota; Viridiplantae; Streptophyta; Magnoliopsida; Malvales; Malvaceae. The record is from RNAcentral.